This 170-nucleotide ribosomal RNA is filed under the name uncultured bacterium. Its description in RNAcentral is "partial 16S ribosomal RNA". It matches the Rfam family "Bacterial small subunit ribosomal RNA", at positions 338 to 525 of the family's 1533-position model. The record is from RNAcentral.
CCUACGGGAGGCAGCAGUAGGGAAUCUUUCACAAUGGGCGAAAGCCUGAUGGAGCAACGCCGCGUGCAGGAUGACGGCCUUCGGGUUGUAAACUGCUUUUAUAUCUGAGAAAUAUGAUGGUAAGAUAUGAAUAAGGACCGGCUAACUACGUGCCAGCAGCCGCGGUAAUA